RNAcentral lists this ribosomal RNA (459 nucleotides) under uncultured bacterium. RNAcentral's name for it is "partial 16S ribosomal RNA". It matches the Rfam family "Bacterial small subunit ribosomal RNA", at positions 338 to 795 of the family's 1533-position model. The record is from RNAcentral.
CCUACGGGUGGCAGCAGUGAGGAAUAUUGGUCAAUGGUCGGAAGACUGAACCAGCCAAGCCGCGUGAGGGAGGAAGGUACAGAGCAUCGUAAACCUCUUUUGCCAGGGAACAAAAACUGGGACUCGUCCCCUGCUGAGUGUACCUGGAGAAAAAGCAUCGGCUAACUCCGUGCCAGCAGCCGCGGUAAUACGGAGGAUGCGAGCGUUAUCCGGAUUUAUUGGGUUUAAAGGGUGCGCAGGCGGUCCGUUAAGUCGGCGGUCAAAGCCCGGGGCUCAACCCCGGCCCGCCGUUGGAACUGGGGGCCUCGAGUGGGAGAGAAGUAUGCGGAAUGCGCGGUGUAGCGGUGAAAUGCAUAGAUAUCGCGCAGAACUCCGAUUGCGAAGGCAGCAUGCCGUGUCCACACUGACGCUGAGGCACGAAAGCGUGGGUAUCGAACAGGAUUAGAUACCCGAGUAGUC